RNAcentral lists this ribosomal RNA (663 nucleotides) under uncultured fungus. RNAcentral's name for it is "eukaryotic LSU rRNA". It matches the Rfam family "Eukaryotic large subunit ribosomal RNA", at positions 23 to 664 of the family's 3401-position model. Lineage: Eukaryota; Fungi. The record is from RNAcentral.
ACCCGCUGAACUUAAGCAUAUCAAUAAGCGGAGGAAAAGAAACUAACAAGGAUUCCCCUAGUAACUGCGAGUGAAGCGGGAAAAGCUCAAAUUUAAAAUCUGGCGGUCCUUGCGGUCGUCCGAGUUGUAAUUUAGAGAAGUGUUAUCCGCGCUGGACCGUAUACAAGUCUCCUGGAAUGGAGCGUCAUAGAGGGUGAGAAUCCCGUCUUUGAUACGGACUACCAGGGCUUUGUGAUGCGCUCUCGAAGAGUCGAGUUGUUUGGGAAUGCAGCUCAAAAUGGGUGGUAAAUUCCAUCUAAAGCUAAAUAUUGGCGAGAGACCGAUAGCGAACAAGUACCGUGAGGGAAAGAUGAAAAGAACUUUGGAAAGAGAGUUAAACAGUACGUGAAAUUGUUGAAAGGGAAACGCUUGAAGUCAGUCGCGUUGGCUGGGGAUCAACCUUGCUUUUUUGCAUGGCGUACUUCCUAGUCGAUGGGUCAGCAUCAGUUUUGAUUGUUGGAUAAAGGUCAGGGGAAUGUGGCAUCUUCGGAUGUGUUAUAGCCCUUGGUCGUAUACAGCAGUUGGGACUGAGGAACUCAGCACGCCGCAAGGCCGGGUACUUGUACCACGUACGUGCUUAGGAUGCUGGCAUAAUGGCUUUAAUCGACCCGUCUUGAAACACGG